UCCCUGGUGGCUCAGUGGUAAAGCAUCUGCCUGCCAUGCAGGGGACCCGGGUUUGAUCCCUGGGUGGGGAA
Molecule: transfer RNA, 71 nt
Filed under: Ovis aries (sheep)
Lineage: Eukaryota; Metazoa; Chordata; Mammalia; Artiodactyla; Bovidae
Rfam family: tRNA
About the family: Transfer RNA (tRNA) molecules are approximately 80 nucleotides in length. Their secondary structure includes four short double-helical elements and three loops (D, anti-codon, and T loops).
Source: Rfam by way of RNAcentral